RNAcentral lists this long non-coding RNA (859 nucleotides) under Equus caballus (horse). RNAcentral describes it as "lncRNA (ENSECAG00000058206.1)". The record is from RNAcentral. Lineage: Eukaryota; Metazoa; Chordata; Mammalia; Perissodactyla; Equidae.
GCUGGAAAGGCUGUGUGUAGCCACUCCAGCCCACAACUCCAGCUGAGCUUCCAGGAUAUCGGCACCAACUGCCACCCAUGUUCAUGGUCCUCUUCCUAGUAAGGAUAAGACAUCCAUCCACCAAGGAAAAAUCAAGUCGUUACCAAAUGAAAGAACUGAGAAGGAAUAAGAUAUACCUAGUGGUGGAACUUCAAAAAUGAAAAAUGAAGAGAAUUAAGGCACGAUCCCAUUAUCCUCCUGGGAGAACUGCUGACUUUACUGGCAUCAAUCCUCUAAAGACUUAUGUAAAUUUUCAACUGGGUAGCUGGAAUUCAGUUUUUCCUGUAAACAAGAAGCACCAGUAGAAGAAGGCACAUGGAAACCUUGAAUCACAAGCAAGGGAGAGCUGAGGUCGUUUUAUUCCAAUAGCUUCACAAAGACUGAGCAACUUCAACUCUUUCAGGGCCAUACCUCCGACCAUCCUCAUCAACAACUGCCAUCCCCUGACCCACUUUCGGUCCACUUCCUCCUAUAUUUCCAACAAACUUAUACUAAUUUUCUAACUCUACCAAUUCCAGAUCUUACUGAAACCUCUAAUUAUGGACCUUAGCACUCAUUCCUAUCAACUCUCUCAUGUUUGCACAUCUCUCCUUUCUAGCUUCCUUUGUUUAUUACCAUCACACUCCUUGCAAACACUCUGACUUCUUAACACCUCAUUCCUCUCUUCCUACAUUGUGCUCACUUGGGAAAGUCUCAAGUCUAAUUAAAUCAAACUGUCUACCUAUUUUUGCCUGCAUUUCAGGAGCUGAAGAAACUUUGUGGAGAAAAAAACAAACUUGCUCUUGACUGCUUUCACCUUAAAAUCAUGAUUUCAAAUCAC